Molecule: ribosomal RNA, 274 nt
Filed under: uncultured bacterium
Lineage: Bacteria
Description: partial 16S ribosomal RNA
Rfam family: Bacterial small subunit ribosomal RNA
Source: RNAcentral
AUACGGAGGGUCCAAGCGUUGUUCGGAAUUAUUGGGCGUAAAGCGCGUGUAGGCGGCAUGGCAAGUCGGGUGUGAAAGCCCGGGGCCCAACCCCGGAAUUGCAUUCGAAACGGUCAGGCUAGAGUCUCGGAGAGGAGGGCGGAAUUCCCGGUGUAGAGGUGAAAUUCGUAGAUAUCGGGAGGAACACCAGUGGCGAAGGCGGCCCUCUGGACGAUGUCUGACGCUGAGACGCGAAAGCGUGGGGAGCAAACAGGAUUAGAAACCCCGGUAGUCC